This 262-nucleotide unclassified non-coding RNA is filed under the name uncultured Russula. RNAcentral describes it as "sequence contains ITS2". The record is from RNAcentral. Lineage: Eukaryota; Fungi; Basidiomycota; Agaricomycetes; Russulales; Russulaceae.
CAUUCUCAAAAAGAACCCUUCUUGGUCUUGCGAUCGGGAAAGGCCUCUUUUUGGACUUUGGAGGCUAUUGCUGGUCCCCCCUUGAUAGCCAGCUCCUCUUAAAUGAAUUAGUAGGGACCACUUUGCCGACCCUAGACGUGAUAAGAUGUUUCUGCGUCUUGGGUAGUCGCUCUGUCCUUUGGAAACCUGCUUCUAACAGUCUUGUCAAAAGACAGCGUUCGAGCCUUUCUCGUUGAUCGGGCAAGGCUUGACACUUUAUGAA